UGCGAGGACAGCAAAGUCUGGACAAUGGAGCUGAGCCUAGUCCUGCUGUUCCUGACCUGCACUGCCCUUUUUGCACCCCAGGGAGCUGCUGCUGAGCCCCACAGUCUUCAUUAUAACCUCACGGUGCUGUCCUGGGAUGGAUCUGUGCAGUCAGGGUUUCUCGCUGAGGGACAUCUGGAUGGUCAGCUCUUCCUGCUCUGUGACAGGCAGAAAGGCAGGGCAGGGCCCCGGGGACAGUGGGCAGAAGCAGUCCUGGGAGCUGAGACCUGGGACACAGAGACUAAAGACUUGACAGAGAAUGAGCAGGAGCUCAGGAGGACCCUGGCUCAUAUCAAGGGCCAGAGAGGAGGAAGAGGAGAUAAAUAUAUGAAGGUGCUGUUUGACACAUAAUUUAAUAGGGAAGAAAGAGACAGUGUAACUGACCAGUGCUGGGUCUCAUCAUCCUGCAAUUUCAGAACAACUAUGAAUACAAAAAGAAUUUUAAAAACCCAGUCCUGCCUAGAAGGUGGGAGUCAUCUCUAAAUAUGGUGGCCCUGGGGCAGCUGGCCUCCCUGCCAGGCUUCUUCCAUGGGGGCCCUUUCUGCAGUAACUGUGAUUUCUUCCCAUUUCACUCUGCCCUGUGUCCUGACUCAAGCGACAAGGUGUGUCUGCGGCUGUGCUCACACCUGGAGGAAACCUCAAUGGUGACAUGGUGACCCUAGCAGCACAUCCUCUUUCCUGUGUCAAGGAGCAUCGUCCAGGGAGGUGAGAAGAAGGCAGUCCUCCCUAGAAUUGAAGAACCAGAUGGGCUGGGCAGAUCAAGCACAGCCCUGAGAUCCAACUGUCCCUCCUAUGCGCCUGGGUUUCUUCACUGGACACCAGCGUGAGUCAACUUUCCUAUAAAGCAGAACAAGCACAAGAUUGGACCAUGUUAGAGGAGGAAUGGUGUCAUCUCCACUUCUGGAGAGAUCCCUGUCCCCAUGUUUGGGGGAAGGACCAAGCCUCACUCCCAUGCAGAGAGGAAGCUCUGGCUGUAACUGCACCUGUGGAGAGUGGAGAGACAAGAAGUGUGAGCUAUUUAUAAAACUGAGCACCUGACUGCCACGGGAGUGAAUAGUGACCACACACAGCAAGACCUGGGACAUGGCCGUGACUGUAUCCAGAACUGACAGAACUAAUCUAUGGUAUUAGAAAUCAAGAGAGUGUCUGCUGUAGGGUUGGGGAGGGUGAUUUAUAACCAAGUAGAACCCAAUGGUGUUUCCUGGAGGCUGGCAAUGCUGUUCCUUGAUGUGGCCACUAUUUACCUGAGUGUUCACUUUGUGAAAAUCCACGGCCUACUUAUGGUUUGUCCACCUUUCUCCAUGCAUGUCGUCCUUCAUUCAAGUAUACAUUCCUGAUGUUUUGAAACAAUUCUCUCUAAGCUAAUACAGAAUCUCCAUUACUGAAAGUCCUUAGAAAUGCUGCAUUGGAAAAAAUUAGUCCAAUUAUUAAAAAUCCAUGAAAUAAAUGCUGUGACUCAGACAUUAAGAGGAGAAUCUACAACAAGAGCAGUAGGCUUGGGAGCUGACAGAAGAACAGCUUUGGAAAUGGCUGUUGAGCCAGGAACUAGGAAUCAAAACCCAAAAAGGCCCAUGCAAGGUGGAGGGUGUGAAAUGACGCCCCAGUAGUGCAUGAAUGAAUGAGUCAUGGGCAGUGGCUCAUGGGUUGCUUGGUCAGUCAGGAUCUUGGGUAAAAUAAAGUUGGAAAACUGGGGAAUGGAAGAGAGAGGUAUGCACAGACCUCUUGACAUGGGCAGAGCUUGAGAAGAUAGUGGUUGCAGGUUUCCCCAAAUGGAGAACAUCAAUAAAAAGGUAGAAAUUUUACAAAGAGACCAGAUAGAAAGUUUGGAGCUGAAAAGUGCAAUAACUGAAAUGAAAAAAGUCACUAGAGGGGCUCCAGAGCAAAUUUCACCAUGCAGAAUGGAGAAUCAGCAAGCUUGAAGAUAAGACAACUGAAAUUCUCUAGUUCAUUAGCAGAAAGAGAAAAACUUAUGAAGAAAAAUGAACAGAACUUUAAAGAUCUGUGAGACAACAUCAAGCACAUGCACUUUGGGAGUCCUCAGAGAAAGGAGAAGAAUGACUAUUUAAAGAAUAACUCCAAACCUUCCAAAUUUGAUGAAAAACAUUAUUCAUCCAACAAACUUGUUAAAUUUUAAGCAGCAAAAGAAUUUAAAGAGGUCCACACCGAGACAACAUUAUAAUCAACCCAUCAAAAGCCAAUGACAAACACAGCAUAUUGAAAGGAAUAACAGAGAAGGAACUUUUCAGGUUCAAUGGAUCCUCAAUAAGAUUGCAGCCCAGUUUUCUUCAGAAACCAUAGCGUUCAGAAGGCAUUGGGAUGUUGACAAAUUUAGAGGUCAGAAAAAAAAAGACUGUCAUGCAAUAAUCGUGUGUCUGGAAAAACUCUCCUUCAGAAAUAAUGCAGAUAUAUGUGUGUGUAUAUAUAUAUAUGACUAUACAUAGUACUACAUAUAUAUAUAACUAUAUAUAGUACUACUAUGAAAUUAUAUAUAUAUAGUACUAUAUAUAGUAGUCCUACUAUAAAAGCUAGUAGUAAUAUGUAUAUUUUUGGUGUUUUUAUGUGUGUGUGUGUGUGUGUAUAUAUAUAGUACUAUAUAUAGUAGUAUAUAAAGCUAGUAGUAAUAUGUAUAUUUUUAGUGUUUAAUUCUUCUUUUGUUUUUCCUAUUUGGUUUAAAAGAAAAUGCUCAUUGACUGAUGAAUGAAUAAACAACAUGUAGUAUAUUUCUA
This 2765-nucleotide small RNA is filed under the name Pongo abelii (Sumatran orangutan). RNAcentral's name for it is "processed transcript". The record is from RNAcentral. Lineage: Eukaryota; Metazoa; Chordata; Mammalia; Primates; Hominidae.